Dermacentor andersoni is the source of this 4539-nucleotide long non-coding RNA. RefSeq lists it as uncharacterized. The record is from RefSeq and is a predicted model, not a curated record. Lineage: Eukaryota; Metazoa; Arthropoda; Arachnida; Ixodida; Ixodidae.
AAUUUUAUCACCCGAGGUUCAUUAAUGUGCGCGCAAUCUGAGCAUAUGAGCUCUUUUUUUAUUCUUCGCAUUUUGCCUUCGUCGGAAGGCAGUCGGGAUUGAACGCGUGACCUCGAACUAAGCACAGUAACACCUUAGGACCUGGGCACAUCGCGGUUUAUAUACUCAGAAAUGCAUUUAAGUUUAUAUAAAGGCAGAGCCGCCGUUGCUGCCUGCUCUAAUUGGCUCACAGGGUUCUUACGCACUCGUUCAUUGGCUAAGAAUGAAAACAUGGUGGAAUUUGACGGUGUGCGGAAUAGAACCUCAACGUUUCGUGUCCUCAUCAUUUUCAGCAUGCUUCUAAGUAGGCGUGCAACGUCUUUUUUUUUUUUCAUCGGUGCCGAGAAUGAAGCGCACGAGAUCCACAUGGUCGAGUCGUGCACGAAUCUGUCAGGCAAAGAUGCUGGCCUUUCGUGCUUCAUGACAAGGUCAUGCGUGGGAGGCAGCACGUAGACCGACAGUACGAGCCAGCGAAGGGUGAAUGCGGCGUCCUAGCGGCCUGGUGUCUUGGUCCCCACCCUGCUGCUCCUGGUGGCCAGCAGUACUUGCGUACUGGUAUCUAGAUGCCUGCCCUGUGGACCUGAUGGCGAGCUCUUCCAUCAGCCUGGUGUCUUGCUGCCCGCCCUGUGGAUCAAGCAGCCACCUGUUCGUGCGAAAUGGUAACUAGCUGCCCACGAUGGGAACCUGGUGGCCAGCUGUCGUAAUGACCUGGCCUUUGGCAGCGACUGUUCCAGCGACUUGAUGUGUAGCGGCGAGCUCAGCGGACUCGCCAGCUGUUCCAGUGAAACUGUACCUUGCGGCCUGACCUGGGGACCCUUUUGGCCAGCUGUUCUGGAGGCCUGAACAAACGAUCGACAUGUUCCUGUGGUGCACGGACUGUCUGUCAAAGGCGAUGCUCGAUUUUCGUGGGUCCUCAUCGUGUGAAGCACUGGAGUCAGCAUGGUGGCCGUCUAUAUAAAUAAUGCCACCAAGCGGACCUGCGUCUUGCUGCCUGACGUGCGUAACGGGUGGCGAGCUCGGUCUUCUAACACGAUGGUGCCUGGGAGCCUCCACUGCGGAUCUGGUGGCCAGCUGAUCUUGCGACCUGGUAUCUCAACGUCAAUCCAGCUGCUCUACCUUCAUGAUGUUGCUGCGUUGCUUCUGUUGCUGCGCGCCCCGUAGACCUGGUGGCAAGCUGUUCUUGUGACCUCCUCGGCUGCUGAAAAGAUACAGCAUGCGCUAAGGAAUCACAGAGGAACGUGCUCAUCGUAAGUGGCGAUGAUGGCGAGGACCUCCCCACCACGGACUUGGAACUGCAAUCCCUCGAUCGGGAGCAACCUGCUGCCGGACCGCCGAACAGCCGCUGAGCCAGGCUGGAGAAGUUCACGUCGAACGUCAAGUCUUGAACCGGCGUCAGAGUGGCCACAUUCAUCGUCACGACAACGAGGCACUUGACACCAUUGCUGGAAAUCCCGACAAACGGGUGGUUACACACACACACAAAUAAAGAGACUCAAAACAGCGCUGGCCAGAAGGCAAGAAGAGGACGAUGGCCGCGUUCAGCGCCGAUGACGUGCAAGACAACUCAAGCUUUCGUACCACGAGUCCAACUAAUAAGUAUAUGUGGGGUAGAUCUUCGGUAGCCUCAGCAGAGGUUGGGGCGGGUCUUCGAAAUAGAGCUUCGGUAACACAGGCUUACGGAGUUACCCUGUUGGUAACGGCAGAGGAAACGCGACGAGCGAAACGUUGGUGGAUGACAUGAAUGACACAAAGAACGGAAAACUACGCACGACGGCAAAAUGUGAUGUUCACGGGAGCGUAUUCGCGCAAUGUGUUUUUUAUCAAGUCACCAAAGUGUUUCUGCACCAUUUUAACCCUGUACUGCACAACGCAGAUUCUGUAUAGUGUGCGUUUGAGACAUAGUAAUUUGAAUUCGCGCACGUGGAACACAAGUAGCCGUAUUAAUGCACAAUCAGGGUAUUUUUAUGUCCACUACAUGACGAAGGCCUCUCCCAGCGAUCUCCCAUUUCCGCUAUCAUGUGCCAACUACUUCCAACUUGCGCCUGCGAAUUUUCUCAUCUCAGCUCGACUGCGCUUCCGUUUUCUUGGCACCCAUUUUGUAACGCUAACGCUCCACCGAUUAUCAAUCCUACGCAUUGCAUAGCCUACCCAGCUCCAUUCCUUUCUCUUUGUGUCGAUUACAAUAGCGGGUAUCCCUGUUUACCCUCGAUAGUCCACAGCGCUUUUCACCUGUCUCUGAACAUUACGCCUAACGUGAUUGGUCCCAUUGCUCUUUCCGCGGUCUUGUUCUCGAGCUUCUUCAACCUGCAUGUUUCGGCCUCAUAUGUUGGCACCAGUAGAAUGCAGUGAUUGUAGACUUUUUCUGCGAUAGUGUUUUUGUUUUAGCGAUAGUGACUUUUUCUCCCACUCAGUAUCUGGCAAUGCUUGCUGUACGCACUCCAACUUACCUUCUCUUCUGUAAAUUUCUUUGUCUUGAUCAGUGUCUCUUGCGACUUCUGACCUAGGUAAAUGGACUCCUUCACAAACCCUAGAGGUUGAUUGGCAAUCCUGAACUUUUGUUCCCUUGCCAGGCUAUUGAUUAUUUUUCCUUCUGAUAUUAAUCGAACUGCGCCCUUACACUUUCUGUUGAGGCCCUCAAUCAUUUGUAAUUCAUUCCCAGUGUUGCUUAACAUGACGUCGUCUGCAAACCGAAGGUUGCUGAGAUGUUCGAUGUUGAACCUCUCCUAGUCCAUAUUUUGGCAGCUUCAGUACUUCGAAGCAUGCAGUGAAUACCAUUGGAGAGUUUGCGUCUCUUUCACUGACUACUUUCUCUAUACGUACCUUUCUACUUUUCUUGUGAAGGAAAAAGGUAGCUGAGGAAUCCUUUGAGCUAUUUCCGAAGAUAUUCACGUAUGCCAUAUGUACUUCUUGAUUACGUAAUGCUACUAUGAAAAUGCAUUUGAUUCAUUAGAGACACCAGCAGUCGUAAUGAAUGAAAGCAUCGUAGAGUGGGUGCUCGUACUUUGCAGAUUUCUCAGUUACCUUAUUGAUGACAGGAGUAGGAGGAGGGAAAGAAGAGAUCCGUUGAACAUCCCGAAGCCAGCCUGUUUCUUUACUGAGGUCAAGUGGUGCCUUCACUCAAUUGGCAAUUCGUGAAUUCGUUAGAGCCAUGUGUCUGUUGUGAUUAGGUUUGGAAUCUAAUUACAAACGAGUGCUUGCUUAACUUAUACUCAGUACAAAUGUGUCCUCCAAGACGAGAAAUAGGGUCCAUUCUAGGAAUUUUAUUUGAUGUAGAACUGUGUUUGGGCGUUACAGGGUUAACUACUCCAAUACUAUUCGCGUUUGUGUUGCGUGCUUUGAACAGGGAACUCUGCAAAGUAAGUAUUUGGAGACCAGCAACCAGCGGUCUCGUUAAUGGACAACGAAGUCUGGUCGAACCCGUUACUUAUACUGCUAUUCACAGCAAAUCUUAAGGACUCGCCAGGGGUUGAGUACAAAAAAAAAAAAAAAUCACGCGAUGACAUGACGCGCGCCUCUCAACUGGUGCCUAUCGGUUGUGUAGCCGGUACAGUUACCCGCGCCACUGGCAUUAUGCGCGAGCUAAGCGAUCGUCCAGGAUUGAAGAGAUGCUUCGAUUCACCGUUUCAGUUUAGCGUUUGCAACCGAAUAUUCGCAUUACGUCCGUAAAGAAAUGUCGACCCUGCACACGUUCUGAACGUUAGGGGGGUUCUGCGAUUUGCGUGCGCUAUGAUAGCGUACGGUAUUUGACGAGUGUCAGGUUCGAACGUCUGCGUACGCUUAGUAGCGUCGAACAUGGCGGCGCCCAUGGCUCCAGCUUCAGCGUAUGUUUUGAUAACCGCUGUCAGAGACGAGUUUGUCGCCAGUACCUAUAAAACCGAGUUCACGCUUCCUCUGAACUCGCCUGAAACGUGAGCGCAUAGCGCGUGCAAUUUCGGAGAUCAGCCGGCGAUUCCGGCUCCCGUAGGCCUAACCAGACUCGUCGGCAUAGCAACGGUGAGGUACUUGCUAAUGGAUCGUCUCGUCUUGGCUUCGAUACGUUUGGCACGAGGCACGAGACGGCGGGCUGUUUUGGAGAGUCUUUACGUUUGUGUUCCCGUACGGUAAACUGGCAGACUUCAAAGGACGCACACCGUAACGUCGCACAAAUCUGAUUACGUUUAACGUACGUAGGUCGGCAAACUCCUCUAAAACAGUGAUAUUGUUUCGUGCACUAUUUCAGUUCUACGGCGUGUAUUUCUCGGGUGCCUUAACCUUUGGAAUGAACGUCUGUACGCUUGUGCUUAGCCGAACGCUUCUUAAAGCUGUCUUAGAUGGUCUGCGUCUAAAAUGAAGAUUGCAUUCUCUCGAGCAGCUACCGCCUUUCGGGUUUUGCAAAGCUGAGAUUGAUGUCUCUAUUUUGUGUGUGUGUGUGUGUGUGUGCGCGCACGCUGUUUCACACCACCAGAAAAAUGGUUUGCCUCGUGUGAGAACGUUCAUUGGCUUGGAAAUAAACUUGUCUUG